GGCUGUUGUUUUUCAAGGCAACGAUGGAGGCAAAGCGCCAGCAGGCCCUAGUCCCAGUGAUUUGCUUAGAAAAGCUCUGGGACAAGAGAGAUGGUAUUUUCUAGUCUGCACUGGUGACAUCUGUAGCAAGCCAGUUGGAGAAAACCAGAGAACACAAAUAUGUACCCCUGGGCGAAUUAUCACAAUAAUUUGAAGCAAAUUUGUAACCACAAACCAGGUCAAGAGAACGGAACUUGCCGGUGUUCCAGUGGCUUCCUCAGGACUGAUCCCUGCUGCCAUCCUGUCCUUUUCCCCUCCAGAAGGUGCUUACCCUCCUAGCUGUCAUGUCUCCCUCCAGGUUCAGCGGCUGUGAAUUUUGGCCAAUGAAACAUGGCAGGAGUGAUGCAUCUCCCUUACUGGGCUGUCCCACAGAAACCUCCCACGGGAUCCUCCCCACUCUCCCUGACUCCCACCUGCCAGCUGGAAACAGGAUUCAAGAGAGAUCUUCAAGCUCCAAGGGAUGGUGGAACCUCACGCUGCAGAGAGACGGGCCUUAGAAUCACCCCGUGAAAGGCUGCCUCAGAACACUUACAUUGAGUCAUCAUGUGAGCUAGAAAUAAAACUCCCAUUGUGUUAAGUUGCUAAAAUUUGAGGAUUGUUUGUUUCAGCAGAGAGCUUAUUCUAACUGAUAGAGGAGUGGGGAUUUGCUUUCAGAAAGGAUUCUUUACUUUGCAAGAGGAAUCAUGCCAGGAUCUCUUUAAGUUGCGGGCUUGCCUUACACAGGUGAUAUGAAGCCACUUAUUACACAUUGAUCUCAGGGGCACAUCAGUUGUGCCAGCUGCUGGC
This 825-nucleotide long non-coding RNA is filed under the name Callithrix jacchus (white-tufted-ear marmoset). Its description in RNAcentral is "lncRNA (ENSCJAG00000084808.1)". The record is from RNAcentral. Lineage: Eukaryota; Metazoa; Chordata; Mammalia; Primates; Cebidae.